This 292-nucleotide ribosomal RNA is filed under the name uncultured bacterium. RNAcentral's name for it is "partial 16S ribosomal RNA". The record is from RNAcentral.
GGACUACAAGGGUAUCUAAUCCUGUUUGCUCCCCACGCUUUCGCGCCUCAGCGUCAAUAUCUGUCCAGGUAGCCGCCUUCGCCACUGGUGUUCCUUCCGAUCUCUACGCAUUUCACCGCUACACCGGAAAUUCCACUACCCUCUACAGUAUUCUAGUCAUUCAGUAUUGUAUGCAGUUCCUAGGUUAAGCCCAGGGAUUUCACAUCCAACUUAAUUGACCGCCUACGCGCCCUUUACGCCCAGUAACUCCGAUUAACGCUCGCACCCUCUGUAUUACCGCGGCUGCUGGCAC